CAGCUAAAAGAGGAUGAAAUGAAGGGCGUCCCUGAGAGCGAUUACGUUACACAGGUAUGGUGUUUCAAUUUACUACGUCCCUGCCCCCGAAGCA
Long non-coding RNA from Alosa sapidissima (American shad), 94 nucleotides. RefSeq lists it as uncharacterized. The transcript has 3 exons. Lineage: Eukaryota; Metazoa; Chordata; Actinopteri; Clupeiformes; Clupeidae. The record is from RefSeq and is a predicted model, not a curated record.